This 497-nucleotide ribosomal RNA is filed under the name uncultured bacterium. RNAcentral's name for it is "partial 16S ribosomal RNA". It matches the Rfam family "Bacterial small subunit ribosomal RNA", at positions 28 to 507 of the family's 1533-position model. The record is from RNAcentral.
GAUGAACGCUGGCGGCGUGCCUAAUACAUGCAAGUCGAGCGAACGGACGAGAAGCUUGCUUCUCUGAUGUUAGCGGCGGACGGGUGAGUAACACGUGGAUAACCUACCUAUAUGACUGGGAUAACUUCGGGAAACCGUAGCUAAUACCGGAUAAUAUUUUGAACCGCAUGGUUCAAAAGUGAAAGACGGUCUUGGUGUCACUUAUAGAUGGAUCCGCGCUGCAUUAGCUAGUUGGUAAGGUCACGGCUUACCAAGGCAACGAUGCAUAGCCGACCUGAGAGGGUGAUCGGGCACACUGGAACUGAGACACGGUCCAGACUCCUACGGGAGGCAGCAGUAGGGAAUCUUCCGAAAUGGGCGAAAGCCUGACGGAGCAACGCCGCGUGAGUGAUGAAGGUCUUCGGAUCGUAAAACUCUGUUAUUAGGGAUAAACAUAUGUGUAAGUAACUGUGCACAUCUUGACGGUACCUAAUCAGAAAGCCACGGCUAACUACGUG